CCAGGACUGGCCCCUUUCAGGAGCCGUAGAGGAAGCAGGUUUCUGGUCAUGUGAUGCGGGAAAGGGCGGACGUACAGCUCACGCACAGGAGUGGGGACCUGCAGGACGGCGAUAGAGAGACAUCUUUGUUGUGGGCAAAAUACGCCCACCUCAAGUAACGUUGGAGGUACUUAAAUUUGAUCCACGGUUAGCGCUAAUUAGCGUGCGUGAUCUUAGUUUACAAGACAGGCUUAUACUAGAGAGAAAGAUAAUGUGCUUGAUCACCAGGUUGAUUCUACUUACCAGCCAUAAAAACAUCUGCAUACAGGUGACCUCAGGAAGGCUAUCCUUGACCUCAUCUGACCUCUGACAUUACCUUGCCGGAUUUCCUCCAUAGUACCUGUUGUCAACUGGACUUCUGCUGCCAUUAUUGGGAUUUUGUCUGUUUGCCUAUUGCGUGUCUUCAUCACCAGGAUAUAAGCUUUGUGAGAGCAGAAACUUUGGCUCCUGAUAUUUCUAGCGCCUAGGAUAGUCAUGGCACAUGCUGGCAUGAGCUGAGCAGCUUCCUCGGUUGCCACUCUUCCACCAUGAUGUUCUGCCUCAUCUUGGGCCCAAAGCAAUGGAGUUGACUGACUAUGGUCUGAAUCUCUGAAACUGCUGCCCUACCUCAGCACCAUCACCAGUCUAACAGCUGUGAGAACCGUGGAUCCAGGGAGAAUGGAGGCCAGAGGCAAAAGGAAGCAAUGAAGUCCCACAAAGAGGAUGAGAACUUCAGAUGUCAAAUGUGACUUUCAAUCUAUCUAGCUUAAAAGUAAACCCUCUACCUGGAUAUCCUCUUGAACCUGGUGGACCUCGAUUUCCUUUUUGGCCAGGGAUGAUGGUCCCAGGCCGACCUGGUGGCCCUGGGGGUCCUGUUAUGCCCAUGGGUCCUCGAGGCCCAACAUCUCCCAUUGUUCCCUUCCUGCCAGGGAGGCCGGGCCAACCAGGGGCUCCCCUGUCUCCUUUGGCACCUGCAAACAAGAAGACAUGGUAAGUUUCUGUUAUGCUUCUGUAACUGGACUUGCAGGU
Molecule: long non-coding RNA, 1047 nt
Organism: Marmota monax (woodchuck)
Lineage: Eukaryota; Metazoa; Chordata; Mammalia; Rodentia; Sciuridae
Exons: 5
Source: RefSeq, a predicted model, not a curated record